Molecule: ribosomal RNA, 505 nt
Filed under: uncultured bacterium
Lineage: Bacteria
Description: bacterial SSU rRNA
Rfam family: Bacterial small subunit ribosomal RNA
Source: RNAcentral
GAUGAACGCUAGCGGCAGGCUUAACACAUGCAAGUCGAGGGGCAGCACGUCUUCGGAUGGUGGCGACCGGCGCACGGGUGAGUAACGCGUAUGCAAUCUACCUUUUACAGGGGCAUAGCCCGGGGAAACCCGGAUUAAUAUCCUAUAGUACCAUUAUAUAGCAUUAUAUUAUGGUUAAAGUUUCGGCGGUAAAAGAUGAGCAUGCGUCCUAUUAGCUUGAUGGUAAGGUAACGGCUUACCAUGGCUAUGAUAGGUAGGGGUCCUGAGAGGGAGACCCCCCACACUGGUACUGAGACACGGACCAGACUCCUACGGGAGGCAGCAGUGAGGAAUAUUGGACAAUGGGCGCAAGCCUGAUCCAGCCAUGCCGCGUGCAGGAAGACGGCCCUAUGGGUUGUAAACUGCUUUUAUACGGGAAGAAACACCCCUUCGUGAAGGGACUUGACGGUACCGUAUGAAUAAGGAUCGGCUAACUCCGUGCCAGCAGCCGCGGUAAUACGGAGAU